This 166-nucleotide non-coding RNA is filed under the name Erysipelotrichaceae bacterium. RNAcentral's name for it is "Lysine sequence". It matches the Rfam family "Lysine riboswitch aptamer". From Rfam's summary of the family: Riboswitches are metabolite binding domains within certain messenger RNAs that serve as precision sensors for their corresponding targets. Allosteric rearrangement of mRNA structure is mediated by ligand binding, and this results in modulation of gene expression. The record is from RNAcentral. Lineage: Bacteria; Bacillati; Bacillota; Erysipelotrichia; Erysipelotrichales; Erysipelotrichaceae.
AAAUCGUAUAGAGGCAGCGAUGCGUCAGAGUAAAAGCUGGAGUCGGCAGACGGAGAUAGCUUUGAAAGGUAAUCAUCGCCGAAGAUGCUGCAUUGGCGGAUGCACUUCUGGGGUCAUGGGAAAUACUCAUGGCACUCCUUCGUUAAGAAGAGGAGCUAUUAACAAC